UUAGAUACCCUGGUAGUCCACGCCGUAAACGAUGGAUACUAGGUGUGGGGGGACUGACCCCCUCCGUGCCGCAGCUAACGCAAUAAGUAUCCCACCUGGGGAGUACGAUCGCAAGGUUGAAACUCAAAGGAAUUGACGGGGGCCCGCACAAGCGGUGGAGUAUGUGGUUUAAUUCGAAGCAACGCGAAGAACCUUACCAGGGCUUGACAUCCUGCUAACGAACCAGAGAUGGAUUAGGUGCCCUUCGGGGAAAGCAGAGACAGGUGGUGCAUGGUUGUCGUCAGCUCGUGUCGUGAGAUGUUGGGUUAAGUCCCGCAACGAGCGCAACCCUUAUUGUUAGUUGCUACGCAAGAGCACUCUAACGAGACUGCCGUUGACAAAACGGAGGAAGGUGGGGACGACGUCAAAUCAUCAUGCCCCUUACGUCCUGNGCCACACACGUACUACAAUGGCGGCCAACAAAGAGAGGCAAGACCGCGAGGUGGAGCAAAUCUCANAAAGCCGUCCCAGUUCGGAUCGCANGCUGCAACCCGCCUGCGUGAAGUUGGAAUCGCUAGUAAUCGCGGAUCAGCAUGCCGCGGUGAAUACGUUCCCCGGGCCUUGUACACACCGCCCGUCACACCAUGAGAGUCNGGAACACCCCGAAGUCCGUACCCUACCCGCAAGGGGGCCCGGCCCAAAGUGGGUUCAAUAAUUGGGUGAAAUCCGACCAGGGUAGCCGAAUCCAACAACUGGGCGGCCUACUAAGGGAUCGAACCCGGUCCAAGCUUGCGGAUCAUGGCCUAGCUGGUUCUGGGGAAAUGUUUUCGUUCCAUUCA
This 818-nucleotide ribosomal RNA is filed under the name uncultured bacterium. RNAcentral's name for it is "bacterial SSU rRNA". It matches the Rfam family "Bacterial small subunit ribosomal RNA", at positions 778 to 1533 of the family's 1533-position model. The record is from RNAcentral.